GCUCAGGACGAACGCUGGCGGCAUGCCUAAUACAUGCAAGUCGAACGAGCUUCCGUUGAAUGACGUGCUUGCACUGAUUUCAACAAUGAAGCGAGUGGCGAACUGGUGAGUAACACGUGGGGAAUCUGCCCAGAAGCAGGGGAUAACACUUGGAAACAGGUGCUAAUACCGUAUAACAACAAAAUCCGCAUGGAUUUUGUUUGAAAGGUGGCUUCGGCUAUCACUUCUGGAUGAUCCCGCGGCGUAUUAGUUAGUUGGUGAGGUAAAGGCCCACCAAGACGAUGAUACGUAGCCGACCUGAGAGGGUAAUCGGCCACAUUGGGACUGAGACACGGCCCAAACUCCUACGGGAGGCAGCAGUAGGGAAUCUUCCACAAUGGACGAAAGUCUGAUGGAGCAAUGCCGCGUGAGUGAAGAAGGGUUUCGGCUCGUAAAACUCUGUUGUUAAAGAAGAACACCUUUGAGAGUAACUGUUCAAGGGUUGACGGUAUUUAACCAGAAAGCCACGGCUAACUACGUGCCAGCAGCCGCGGUAAUACGUAGGUGGCAAGCGUUGUCCGGAUUUAUUGGGCGUAAAGCGAGCGCAGGCGGUUUUUUAAGUCUGAUGUGAAAGCCUUCGGCUUAACCGGAGAAGUGCAUCGGAAACUGGGAGACUUGAGUGCAGAAGAGGACAGUGGAACUCCAUGUGUAGCGGUGGAAUGCGUAGAUAUAUGGAAGAACACCAGUGGCGAAGGCGGCUGUCUAGUCUGUAACUGACGCUGAGGCUCGAAAGCAUGGGUAGCGAACAGGAUUAGAUACCCUGGUAGUCCAUGCCGUAAACGAUGAGUGCUAAGUGUUGGAGGGUUUCCGCCCUUCAGUGCUGCAGCUAACGCAUAAGCACUCCGCCUGGGAUUCCCCCCC
Molecule: ribosomal RNA, 900 nt
Filed under: Levilactobacillus brevis
Lineage: Bacteria; Bacillati; Bacillota; Bacilli; Lactobacillales; Lactobacillaceae
Description: bacterial SSU rRNA
Rfam family: Bacterial small subunit ribosomal RNA
Source: RNAcentral